CGAUCGAUCGGCCACCAAUCAUAAUCGGCCGAUUUCAGUGAAAGUGUAUGAUCGGUGAUCGCCGAUCACUUGUAUCUCACUUCGCAGCCUGCAUGUGCAGCUCAUCUACUCUUUCCUUCACACUGCGCAGGCGCACGGCAACAAAUCCUAAGCAAUGUGGUAAGGAAUUAUCAU
Molecule: long non-coding RNA, 174 nt
Organism: Poecilia latipinna (sailfin molly)
Lineage: Eukaryota; Metazoa; Chordata; Actinopteri; Cyprinodontiformes; Poeciliidae
Exons: 3
Source: RefSeq, a predicted model, not a curated record